UACGUAGGUGGCAAGCGUUAUCCGGAAUUAUUGGGCGUAAAGCGCGCGUAGGCGGUCGCGUAGGUCUGCUGUGAAAGCGCACGGCUUAACCGUGCAGGGUCAGUGGAAACGACGCGACUUGAGGCUGGGAGGGGCUGGUGGAAUUCCCCGUGUAGCGGUGAAAUGCGUAGAUACGGGGGAGAACACUCGUGGCGAAGGCGGCCAGCUGGACCAGUCCUGACGCUAAGGCGCGACAGCGUGGGGAGCAAACAGG
This 253-nucleotide unclassified non-coding RNA is filed under the name uncultured bacterium. Its description in RNAcentral is "contains 16S-23S intergenic spacer region". It matches the Rfam family "Bacterial small subunit ribosomal RNA", at positions 524 to 776 of the family's 1533-position model. The record is from RNAcentral.